This is a long non-coding RNA of Mauremys mutica (yellowpond turtle), 1823 nucleotides long. RefSeq lists it as uncharacterized. NCBI's taxonomy places the organism in Eukaryota, Metazoa, Chordata, Testudines, Geoemydidae. The transcript is spliced from 3 exons. The record is from RefSeq and is a predicted model, not a curated record.
CUCAGAAAGCCAGUCAAUACAUGGCUCUUGCCCUAAAGAGUACACAAUCUACAUUUAACCUGCACAGCAAGCAAAAGAGAUAGAGAUGGGACAAAGAGGAAGGACAUCCCUCAGGAAGGCAGCAUUGGAAAGAAGUAGAGACUGUGGAUAAGGAAGAAACAUAUCCUCUGGUGUUAUGUAUAUUUCUAUAUGCCCUGGUGUCCAAGGGGUUCCAACAGUCAAAUGUGGAGAACCUGGCACAUCUGUGGCAGCUGGACAUUCUUUAGCUGAAUGAGGCGGUACCGACAAUGGAUCCAGACCAGCACAGGUUAUACAACUAAGUGACAGAGGGCAAAAUUCAGACUCAGGCCAUGCAGCCGUAAGAAGGAAGUGGAGAGGUGUUGACCUUCACUGCCACUUAUACCCUAGGUCAGGAGCACAAGGAGAUCUACUGCGCAUGUGUGGGCCAACAGACACUGCAUUGAAGAAUUUCCAGACUUGGGCUCAGGGUGUGCAUGCAUGCCCAUGUGUGGAAUACAAAUAGGGACAAGCACUUGAGAAGAAACAGCCCCUAUUCCUUCCUAGAUCCAAUUCUUUUUCUAUGUACCCUUAUUCUCAAAGUUUGUAACUAUUUUAUUUUUCACUAUUGGCUUAUGUUUUCAGUUGCCUUGCUUUAAUCCACUAACACAAAUAAAUCAAGCAAUGACAUCAGUCCAAAACGUUAAUAGCAAAAAAAUCUUGAACUGCCUUUUCAAACUAUCCCAAACAGUUACUGCUUGAAUAUUAUGGGGUAGAGAGUUUCAGCAAACUCAGGCUAGAAAAACUGACAAAACGAUUAGUAAAGUAGGGUUAAGUUUAAUUAAAUGUGCAUAGAUGUGAGCCAAAUUCCUGAAUAUAUGUGUAGAGACAUCAUUAAAAUUCAAAGGUUAAUAAUAAUAUGAUGGUAUUUGGCUCUUUCGUAGCACUUUUCAUUUGAGUCUCUGAAAGCACCUUUUGAAUAUGAAUUAAACCUCGAUGCUCUGUGAAGUAGGUGAAUAAUUAUAUCUCUUAUGUUAAACCUGGGUAAACUGAAGCUAUGAGAAGUAAAGUGACUUGCCCCAGUUCAAGUACUGAGUUAUUGGUAGCAUAGAUAGAGCCUAAAAGAUGAAUUCAUAAAAUUCAAACCCAGGCUGAUUUUGAAUAUAUUCACCUUGUGAAUGAACUUCUCUCACAGAUUUGUUCUUAGAACCUAAUUCAGAAGUUGCACACAAUUUACUCUUCAGGUCUGAAUUUGACCCUUGCAACUUGGAGAAAAAUAUUUGCAAAGACUGUAAGAUAAAGCACUGGGAAGAUUGAUAAUGUUUUGCUAUGAGAGAGACAAGGUGGGUGAGGCAAUAUCUUUUAUUGGAACAACUUCAGUUCAUGAAAGAGACAAGCUUUGGAGCUUGCACAGAGCUUCUUCUUGACCCAAAGAAUAGCUCUGUGUAAACUCAAAAGCUCAAAACAGAAGUUGGUCCAAUAAAAGAUAUUACCUCACCCACCUUGUUUCUCUAAUAUCCUGGGGCUGACACAGGUACACUGUAUACAAUGUUUUGCUAUGUCAAUGGUUCGACGCAGUUGAAACCACUAGUCUGAAAUGAGUAUAUUGACACUAACUAUUUAAAUAGAACAAUCAACCCAUUAAACUGUAACAUAAUGAAAUGGGCUAUGUCAGGCACUUCCACUGAGAUCUCAAUAGAAGAACUGUAGCAUAACAAAGUGUCUAUUAGAAUCAGAGUGCAUUAUGAGGGACUGACUCACAUGCUUGGGAGAGAGUGAUAUUGCUUUGUUCUUUUAAGUGAAGAUUAAAUAACCACAAAAAUCAA